Molecule: non-coding RNA, 438 nt
Organism: Anolis sagrei ordinatus
Lineage: Eukaryota; Metazoa; Chordata; Lepidosauria; Squamata; Anolidae
Source: RefSeq, a predicted model, not a curated record
UAAUAUUUUAAUCUAUAGAUUUAUUAAUCUAGAGAAUUUGCAUAGAGGGAAAAAUUAAGAACAUAUCACUGAAAAUGCAUAAUUUUCUUCAUAUUCUUAAAUAUUACCUCUUAGAAGUAUAACCCAAUUCUUUUCAAACCAUGUGCUAAUCAACAUUUUUUAGUAACUAUCUAGAGAUUGGGAAUGUUCAAGCUUCUAGGUGUUGUUAGAUUGCAGCUUCUAUCAUUCUAGUCAUUUUAGUCUAUGGUUAGGGAUGAUAGUAACCUGACAUUCGAUGCACCAUAUAUUAUAUUUUGUGGUCUGUGCCGAAAUUGAUUUUGAACCUAUUUAUGUAAGGGCACAGGUAAGCAAUUUGUUCUUCCCCAUCCUUAUUAGUGUGCUAGUUUGUUCUCUUUUUAUAUUAUUGUGGUAGCUGUUUUUUUUUUAUAAAAAAAAACA